Molecule: ribosomal RNA, 440 nt
Filed under: uncultured bacterium
Lineage: Bacteria
Description: partial 16S ribosomal RNA
Rfam family: Bacterial small subunit ribosomal RNA
Source: RNAcentral
CCUACGGGCGGCUGCAGUAGGGAAUAUUGCUCAAUGGGGGAAACCCUGAAGCAGCAACGCCGCGUGGAGGAUGACGGUUUUCGGAUUGGAAACUCCUUUUGUUAGAGAAGAUAAUGACGGUAUCUAACGAAUAAGCACCGGCUAACUCCGUGCCAGCAGCCGCGGUAAUACGGAGGGUGCAAGCGUUACUCGGAAUCACUGGGCGUAAAGGGCGCGUAGGCGGGAUAGCAAGUCAGAUGUGAAAUCCUAUGGCUUAACCCUAGAACUGCAGUUGAAACUGUUAUGCUAGAGUAUGGGAGAGGUAGGUGGAAUUGUUGGUGUAGGGGUAAAAUCCGUAGAGAUCAAGAGGAAUACUCAUUGCGAAGGCGACCUGCUAGAACAUAACUGACGCUGAUGCGCGAAAGCGUGGGGAGCAAACAGGAUUAGAUACCCUUGUAGUC